AUAAAACUGGGGUUGUAGGGGAUGUAAUCUCCUACUCGCAUUCAGGAAGGUGCCCAGGUUGCAACACAGCCGUCGAAGGAAAC
RNAcentral lists this small RNA (83 nucleotides) under Thermotalea metallivorans. RNAcentral describes it as "Clostridiales-2 RNA". It matches the Rfam family "Clostridiales-2 RNA". Lineage: Bacteria; Bacillati; Bacillota; Clostridia; Peptostreptococcales; Thermotaleaceae. The record is from Rfam by way of RNAcentral.